UACGUAGGGGGCAAGCGUUGUCCGGAAUUAUUGGGCGUAAAGCGCGCGCAGGCGGUUAUUUAAGUCGGGUGUUUAAGCCCGGGGCUCAACCCCGGUUCGCAUCCGAAACUGGAUGACUUGAGUGUAGGAGAGGAAAGUGGAAUUCCACGUGUAGCGGUGAAAUGCGUAGAGAUGUGGAGGAACACCAGUGGCGAAGGCGACUUUCUGGCCUAUAACUGACGCUGAGGCGCGAAAGCGUGGGGAGCAAACA
RNAcentral lists this ribosomal RNA (250 nucleotides) under uncultured bacterium. RNAcentral's name for it is "partial 16S ribosomal RNA". It matches the Rfam family "Bacterial small subunit ribosomal RNA", at positions 524 to 774 of the family's 1533-position model. The record is from RNAcentral.